RNAcentral lists this ribosomal RNA (780 nucleotides) under Ircinia felix. Its description in RNAcentral is "SSU rRNA". It matches the Rfam family "Eukaryotic small subunit ribosomal RNA", at positions 47 to 833 of the family's 1831-position model. The record is from RNAcentral. Lineage: Eukaryota; Metazoa; Porifera; Demospongiae; Dictyoceratida; Irciniidae.
AGCCAUGCAUGUCUAAGUAUGAAUAUCUCUAUACUGUGAAACUGCGAAUGGCUCAUUAAAUCAGUUAUAGUUUACUUGAUGGUAACCUUACUCGGAUAACUGUACCAAUUGUAGAGCUAAUACGUGCACCAAGUCCCGACUUCUGGAAGGGAUGUAUUUAUUAGAUACAAAGCCAAUGCGGGCUUCGGCCCGGUACAGUGGCGAGUCAUGAUAACUGCUCGAAUCGCAUGGCCUAAGCGCCGGCGAUGGUUCAUUCAAAUUUCUGCCCUAUCAACUUUCGAUGGUAGGGUAUUGGCCUACCAUGGUUACAACGGGUAACGGAGAAUUAGGGUUCGAUUCCGGAGAGGGAGCCUGAGAAACGGCUACCACAUCCAAGGAAGGCAGCAGGCGCGCAAAUUACCCAAUCCCGACUCGGGGAGGUAGUGACAAUAAAUAACAAUGCUGGGCUAUUUUGGUCUGGCAAUUGGAAUGAGAACAAUAUAAAUCCCUUAACGAGGAACAAUUGGAGGGCAAGUCUGGUGCCAGCAGCCGCGGUAAUUCCAGCUCCAAUAGCGUAUAUUAAAGUUGUUGCAGUUAAAAAGCUCGUAGUUGGGUUUCGGAGCGGUCAGGCUGGUCCGCCGAGAGGCGAGUACUGGCCGGCCGCUCUUCCUCUCGGAGUCCCUGUCUGCUCUUUGUUGCAGUGGGCAGGGAAUUCGGGACGUUUACUUUGAAAAAAUUAGAGUGUUCAAAGCAGGCGAUUGCUUGAAUACAUUAGCAUGGAAUAAUGGAAUAGGACCUCGG